UUACGGGAGGCAGCAGUGAGGAAUAUUGGACAAUGGGCGCAAGCCUGAUCCAGCCAUGCCGCGUGCAGGAUGACGGUCCUAUGGAUUGUAAACUGCUUUUGCACAGGAAGAAACAACAUUACGUGUAAUGUCUUGACGGUACUGUGAGAAUAAGGAUCGGCUAACUCCGUGCCAGCAGCCGCGGUAAUACGGAGGAUCCAAGCGUUAUCCGGAAUCAUUGGGUUUAAAGGGUCCGUAGGCGGUUUAGUAAGUCAGUGGUGAAAGCCCAUCGCUCAACGGUGGAACGGCCAUUGAUACUGCUAGACUUGAAUUAUUAGGAAGUAACUAGAAUAUGUAGUGUAGCGGUGAAAUGCUUAGAGAUUACAUGGAAUACCAAUUGCGAAGGCAGGUUACUACUAAUGGAUUGACGCUGAUGGACGAAAGCGUGGGUAGCGAACAGGAUUAGAUACCCCGGU
Molecule: ribosomal RNA, 455 nt
Filed under: uncultured bacterium
Lineage: Bacteria
Description: bacterial SSU rRNA
Rfam family: Bacterial small subunit ribosomal RNA
Source: RNAcentral